This 234-nucleotide ribosomal RNA is filed under the name Escherichia coli. Its description in RNAcentral is "partial 23S ribosomal RNA". It matches the Rfam family "Bacterial large subunit ribosomal RNA", at positions 159 to 431 of the family's 2925-position model. Lineage: Bacteria; Pseudomonadati; Pseudomonadota; Gammaproteobacteria; Enterobacterales; Enterobacteriaceae. The record is from RNAcentral.
UGAAUCCAUAGGUUAAUGAGGCGAACCGGGGGAACUGAAACAUCUAAGUACCCCGAGGAAAAGAAAUCAACCGAGAUUCCCCCAGUAGCGGCGAGCGAACGGGGAGGAGCCCAGAGCCUGAAUCAGUGUGUGUGUUAGUGGAAGCGUCUGGAAAGGCGCGCGAUACAGGGUGACAGCCCCGUACACAAAAAUGCACAUGCUGUGAGCUCGAUGAGUAGGGCGGGACACGUGGUA